UACGUAGGGUGCGAGCGUUAAUCGGAAUUACUGGGCGUAAAGCGUGCGCAGGCGGCUUUGCAAGACAGAUGUGAAAUCCCCGGGCUCAACCUGGGAACUGCAUUUGUGACUGCAAGGCUAGAGUACGGCAGAGGGGGAUGGAAUUCCGCGUGUAGCAGUGAAAUGCGUAGAUAUGCGGAGGAACACCAAUGGCGAAGGCAAUCCCCUGGGCCUGUACUGACGCUCAUGCACGAAAGCGUGUGGAGCAAACAGG
RNAcentral lists this ribosomal RNA (253 nucleotides) under uncultured bacterium. Its description in RNAcentral is "partial 16S ribosomal RNA". It matches the Rfam family "Bacterial small subunit ribosomal RNA", at positions 524 to 776 of the family's 1533-position model. The record is from RNAcentral.